Molecule: ribosomal RNA, 1693 nt
Filed under: Paris polyphylla var. yunnanensis
Lineage: Eukaryota; Viridiplantae; Streptophyta; Magnoliopsida; Liliales; Melanthiaceae
Description: bacterial LSU rRNA
Rfam family: Bacterial large subunit ribosomal RNA
Source: RNAcentral
CGGGAAUAAGCAAUUAACCGAAGCAGCGUAUUCGCAGCAAUGCGAGUGGUAGAAGAGCGUUGCACUCAGCAUCGAAGCCGUACCGUAAGGAGCGGUGGAGCGUGUGCAAGUGAGAAUGCCGGUAUGAGUAACGAUAAUGCAGGUGAAAAUCCUGCACGCCGAAAACCUAAGGUUUCCUGGGGAAGGUAAAUCCGCCCAGGGUUAGUCGGGAGCUUAGACGAGGCCGAAGGGCGUAGUCGAUGCACAGCAGGUUAAUAUUCCUGCACCGAUCAUGAAGGUUGAACCAGACGUGCGCCUUAUUGACCAAGAGCCCCCGGCUAGACGUGGGGGUUUCGAAAGAUCGAGCCCGCUUUGUUGGCGAAGUCUUGCAAUAUGGGGCCGAGAAAAGCGUUCUGGGGACGACAUGAUUGUCCGUACUAAAACUGACACAGGUAGGUGAGGAGAGUAUCCUAAGGCGCUCGAGAGAACUGCGGUUAAGGAACUAGGCAAUCUAACCACGUAACUUCGGGAGAAGUGGUCCCUACUCGUAAGAGAGGGUGCAAAAAUCAGACUGGGCGACUGUUUAUCAAAAACACAGUUCUGUGCUAACUCGCAAGAGGAUGUAUACAGAAUGACGCCUGCUCGGUGCCGGAAUGUUAAGGAAGCUGGUCAGGACUUCGGUUCGAAGCUAGCGACUAAAGCACCGGUAAACGGCGGCCGUAACUAUAACGGUCCUAAGGUAGCGAAAUUCCUUGUCGGGUAAGUUCCGACCUGCACGAAUGGCGUAACGAUGGCCACACUGUCUCCUCCCGAGACUCAGCGAAGUUGAAGUGUUUGUGAUGAUGCAAUCUACCCGCGGCUAGACGGAAAGACCCCAUGAACCUUUACUGUAGCUUUGCAUUGGACUUUGAACCAAUCUGUGUAGGAUAGGUGGGAGGCUUUGAAACCGGGACGCUAGUUUCGGUGGAGCCGACCUUGAAAUACCACCCUGGUUUGUUUGAGGUUCUAACCUUGGCCCGUGAAUCCGGGUCGGGGACAGUGCAUGGUAGGCAGUUUGACUGGGGCGGUCUCCUCCCAAAGUGUAACGGAGGAGUUCGAAGGUACGCUAGGUACGGUCGGAAAUCGUGCUGAUAGUGCAAUGGCAUAAGCGUGCUUAACUGCGAGACCGACAAGUCGAGCAGGUGCGAAAGCAGGUCAUAGUGAUCCGGUGGUUCUGAAUGGAAGGGCCAUCGCUCAACGGAUAAAAGGUACUCUGGGGAUAACAGGCUGAUACCGCCCAAGAGUUCAUAUCGACGGCGGUGUUUGGCACCUCGAUGUCGGCUCAUCACAUCCUGGGGCUGUAGCCGGUCCCAAGGGUAUGGCUGUUCGCCAUUUAAAGUGGUACGUGAGCUGGGUUUAAAACGUCGUGAGACAGUUUGGUCCCUAUCUGCCGUGGGCGUUGGAAAUUUGAAGGGGGCUGCUCCUAGUACGAGAGGACCGGAGUGGACGAACCUCUGGUGUACCGGUUGUCACGCCAGUGGCAUUGCCGAGUAGCUAAGUUCGGAAGAGAUAACCGCUGAAAGCAUCUAAGCGGGAAACUCGUCUCAAGAUGAGUCUUGCCGGGGCCUUGAGCCCCCUGAAGGGUCGUUCGAGACCAGGACGUUGAUAGGCUGGGUGUGGAAGCGCAGUAAUGCGUUAAGCUAACUGAUACUAAUUGCCCGUGAGGCUUGACCCU